GAUGAACGCUGGCGGCGUGCCUAAUACAUGCAAGUCGAGCGAACAGACGAGGAGCUUGCUCCUUUGACGUUAGCGGCGGACGGGUGAGUAACACGUAGGUAACCUACCUAUAAGACUGGGAUAACUUCGGGAAACCGGAGCUAAUACCGGAUAAUAUUUCGAACCGCAUGGUUCGAUAGUGAAAGAUGGCUUUGCUAUCACUUAUAGAUGGACCUGCGCCGUAUUAGCUAGUUGGUAAGGUAACGGCUUACCAAGGCAACAAUACGUAGCCGACCUGAGAGGGUGAUCGGCCACACUGGAACUGAGACACGGUCCAGACUCCUACGGGAGGCAGCAGUAGGGAAUCUUCCGCAAUGGGCGAAAGCCUGACGGAGCAACGCCGCGUGAGUGAUGAAGGUCUUCGGAUCGUAAAACUCUGUUAUUAGGGAAGAACAAACGUGUAAGUAACUGUGCACGUCUUGACGGUACCUAAGCAGAAAGCCACGGCUAACUACGU
Molecule: ribosomal RNA, 496 nt
Filed under: uncultured bacterium
Lineage: Bacteria
Description: partial 16S ribosomal RNA
Rfam family: Bacterial small subunit ribosomal RNA
Source: RNAcentral